AUUAAUAAUUAUUAUUUAUUUUAAUAUAUUUAUAUUUAGAAUAAAAAUAUUGUAUUUUAUUAUUAAUAAGAAUAAAUUAAUUUAAUUAUAGUUGAUUAUUAUUGUGAAAGAAUUUAUUUAUUUAUUUAAAAGAAAAAUUUAAUUUUUGUACCUUGUGUAUCAGGGUUUAUUAAUUAAUAAUUUAUAUAAAUAUAUCUCGAAUUUAAAAGAUCUAAAAAAUUAUAUUUUUUAAUGUUGAAUAAUUAUUAGAAAUAAUUUUUUAGUAAUGAAACGUUAUACGUUUUUAAAUAUAUCUAGUUUUUUAAGAAAUAAAUUUAAUUUAUUUAUUAAUUGAGUAAAAAGUUAACUAUUUAAUUUUUUAUUAUUAAUAUGUAAAAUUUUUAGGGAUGAGCUUAAAAAUUGAUUAUUAUUUAUUUAUAAAUUUUGUGAAGGUGUAGGAUUAAAAUUUUUUAUCAUUAAUAAAAUGUUAUAAUUAAUUUAUAUUGAAAUAUUAUUUUUAUAAGUGUAUUAAUUUUUCUAUUAAAAUAUUAGUUUAAAUUUUUUUAAUUAAUAAAUGAUGAUAAAAUUAGUAUAAUUUAUUUUAUUAAUAAAGAUUAUUUAAAGGUUAAGUAAAGGAAUUCGGCAAAUAAUUUUUUACCUGUUUAUUAAAAACAUGUCUUUUUGAGUAUAAUUUAAAGUCUAACCUGCCCUAUGAUUAUUUAAAUGGCCGCGGUAUUUUGACCGUGCUAAGGUAGCAUAAUCAAUAGUUUUUUAAUUGAAAGCUGGAAUGAAGGGUUGGAUAAAAAAGUUACUGUCUUUAUUUAAUUUUAUUAAAAUUUUAUUUUUAAGUUAAAAAGCUUAAAUUUUAUUAAAAGACGAGAAGACCCUAUAGAGUUUGAUAAAUUAAUUAAUUUAUAUAUUUAGAAUUUAUUUUAUUAAUUAAUUUAUUUAUUUAAUUGGGGUGAUUAAAAAACUAAAUUAACUUUUUUUAUAUUUUUACAUUUAUAAAUGUUUAUUUGAUCCAUAAUUAAUGAUUAUAAGAUAAAAUUACCUUAGGGAUAACAGCGUUAUUUUUUUUUAGAGUUCAAAUCGAAAAAAAAGAUUGCGACCUCGAUGUUGGAUUAAAAUUAAUUUUUGGUGUAGUAGCUUAAAAAUUAGGUCUGUUCGACCUUUAAAAUUUUACAUGAUCUGAGUUUAAACCGGUUUAAGCCAGGUUGGUUUCUAUCUUUAAUUAGAAAAAAUAUUUUAGUACGAAAGGAGUAAAUAUUUAAUUUAAAAUUUAUUUAUGAAUAAUUUUAAUG
This 1280-nucleotide ribosomal RNA is filed under the name Plagiodera versicolora (willow leaf beetle). Its description in RNAcentral is "16S ribosomal RNA". The stretch from base 1037 to 1195 matches the Rfam family "Archaeal large subunit ribosomal RNA", at positions 2544 to 2703 of the family's 2987-position model. Lineage: Eukaryota; Metazoa; Arthropoda; Insecta; Coleoptera; Chrysomelidae. The record is from RNAcentral.